UUAGCAUGGAAUAAUUUAAUAGGACGUGUGGUUCUAGUUACUCGGUCUUUAGGACUGCGGUACAUGAUUAAUAGGGACAGUCGGGGGCAUCAGUAUUCACCAGUCAGAGGUGAAGCUUCACGAUCUAGUGAUGACUCAUUACUGUGAGAGCAUACGCCACGGAUGUUUUCAAGAAUCAUAAGACAAACUUAGGGGAUCGAAGACGAUCAGAUACUGUCGUAGUGUUAACCAUAAAAUAGGACGAAUAGGGAUCGGUCGGUGCUAUUUUUAAGACCGUUCGGCACCCUCCGAUAAAUCAAACAAGAAAGACUUCUGGGGGAGUAUGGUCCGCAAGGUGAAACUUAAAGAAAUUGACGGAAGGGCACCACCAGGGGUGGAGCAGGCUCCAUAAUUUGACUCAACACGGGGAAACUCACCAGGUCCAGACACGAUGAGGAUUGACAGAUUGAGAGCUCUUUAAUGAUUUUGUGGGUGGCGGUGCACGGCCUCUGUCAGUAGGUGGAGUGAUUCGUAUGGUUAAUUGACAUAACGAACGAGACGAUAACGGGCUAAAUAGCCUGUCUUUCUUACGCAGUACGCCGGUUUCUUAGAGGGAAAAUCGGUUCAAGCCGAUGGAAGUUCGAGGCAAUAUCAGGUCUGUGAUCCCGAUAGAUGCUUUGGGCCGCACGCGCGGAACACUGACAGAGCCAGCGAGUACUCCCUUGGCCGGAAGGCCCAGGUAAUCUAAUAAACUCGGUAGUGUAGGGGAUAGAGCCAUGCAAU
This 762-nucleotide ribosomal RNA is filed under the name uncultured fungus. Its description in RNAcentral is "bacterial SSU rRNA". It matches the Rfam family "Eukaryotic small subunit ribosomal RNA", at positions 804 to 1590 of the family's 1831-position model. Lineage: Eukaryota; Fungi. The record is from RNAcentral.